Dermacentor andersoni is the source of this 2881-nucleotide long non-coding RNA. RefSeq lists it as uncharacterized. Lineage: Eukaryota; Metazoa; Arthropoda; Arachnida; Ixodida; Ixodidae. The record is from RefSeq and is a predicted model, not a curated record.
GUUUUGAAUUACAAGAAGUGUGAGUUAUCUUUGUGACGACAUAAGUUCGCUUCACAUUUCAACCUGUGCCUACAAGGGCAGAAUUCUUUAGUCGCUUCUUCGUACUCUCAUCUUUCGUUUAGCUUUUAAGUGUUCUAUAAUCAUGACCACGCGGUAUUUUGUCCAUUUUUUCAGAUGUGACAUAUGACGAAAUGACGCUAUAUGGGAAGGCCUGGCGGGGCUAACAUGGGAGCAGAUGUAUAAAGGCUACGGCCUCUGCUUGGACCACUUCAGAGGAAGGGACUACGCCGACCCUAUCGGACUGUUGGAGUGGAAGAGCGGUCUCUGAUGGAUGAAGGUUCUACACUGUCACACCGAGGCAAAACGCCGAAAAUGCACUCACGAGGUUCUGCAAACGUCAUCAAAUGACUGAAAGAUGAUACACAAAGGCAACGCAAGUCAGCAAAGUUAAAGAGCUACCGAAAGAUUACCACGAGGGAAACACUAGAGAAGUUGAUGUAUCAUGUGAGCCAAGAGUUCUACCAACCUUGCAAUGCGAGGUGGCGCUUCAUUAUCGCAAUAGGAAGGGAAGGGCAUGGAUAAAUGUUUUCCGGAGCAUGUUGAUGUGAUCGCGCAGUUGUGCGGUGUGUCCACUGUACUGAAAAAUACGCUGCACAUCAGUGUACUAUCAGAAAUAGUUUGCUCCAGAAAGUGUCCCAUAGACCUGCUGCAAAAGUUCUGCUAUACGUUGCUUAUGCUGCACAUAAAUGACAUCAAAUUGGAAUUCAAAAAAAGAAACAGCGCAAGAGAAAACGUGCUGAAAAAAGAAAUUAAGCUCCAAAAGCUUGAAUAUUAAGAAAAAUUUUCUUACCGAUCCUUUAUUCUUUCUUUAAAUCCGAUAGGUCUUAGGGAGGUCUCCUGAUUUGCCUAUCUUUAGAAAAUAUUUCGACCUAUUUCGAUAUUUGCAUAAACAUCGUGCAACGUAUUCUUUCUUCAAACAGUCAUGGCUUCUACAUUUGAACCCUCCUCUUCGAAGAUUAUUACAUGCUACCGUGUACAUGAAUAUUGGGAUGCUAGAAUCUUCCUGAGCUUACUUCAGUAAAGUAGUGCAAGUACUAAUGUUGCUCAACACAAUGCUCAAUGAUUUCAUUAAUAUAGCAAAAGUCGGAGGGGGGUGGUCUCCUUUCGGCAAAGUCACGAAUAAUCUAAAUAAGCAAAGAAAGCAUGCUGUGCCAGAAACGAGUGUCUAGAAAGGUUGAAAUGCUUUCGCCUUCUUAUUGUCGACGCCGAAAUUCUCAUGACGAAUGACCUCCAGCCAAUGAUGAAACUCGUAACGUAGCUCUAAUGCAUCUCCUUUGUUUCAAACAACUCGCAAGAAACUGAGCAUAUAAGCAUUGUUAAAGAAAGUGCAUAAUGUACCUUCAGCGUAUUAGAGGAAGGCCUUGAAAACCAUUUAAAAGGGAAUUGCUCUGAGCCGGUUUCCCUGAUGCAUUGAAUGCAGUCGAUUUGCAUUCCUUUUAGAAAACAUUUCUCCAUGUCCCGAAGCUGCGCGUUCAAUAAUACAUUUGUGCAUUACUGUGCCCUUGCCCAACCUAUCAACUGCAGAUUGACAAAUGCUCCUCCGGCAUUUACUGUUUCUGAACAGAAAAACUUAGCGCUAUUUGUUGUUAUUGUCUUGGAACUGUGCCAUUUAUGCCUAGAUAACGAUAGAACAAACGAAGUGCAUAACAAAUUUUAAGAAACAUCUGCAAUAUGCUCGCGAAGAAUUUUGUAUUGCUACCUUGUUCGCAAUGUUACAGAUCUGAAUGAAGCUCCAGUGGUCUUUUAUGUUGUAUUGUGAAACAAAACCAUUUAUGAAAAAACACUACGGGCAUUUUCAAUAUAAUUUGCUGGAUAUUUAUCGGCACAGUAGCACAAGGAGAGCUAUGCAGAAAAUUGUCUACGUAUAGCACGUUGUUUGGACUAGCAAGUAUACCCGAUGCAUGGAAUAAAAAAGGAAGAUUUCGUUACUGGUAUGCAUAAAAUGUGGAUUUUCUGCUCUUGAUAAUCUUUUUCUUAGUCACAAAUAACUGUUGCGACAAGAAUUGCUUUGGUAGAGUUGUGUUGUGCACAUCAAACAAACGUGGCCUCUGUGGCAAUUUUCUGUCUUUGAGAAAUUGUAGGAAGCUGCCUUAUGUAUGUAUGAUCGUAGUACCGAAUGCGCCCGUUUGUAUUGACUAAUGAGAUACUCAGCUCUACAUAUAUGUAUUGUUUAUUGCUUUGCUGUGCGAUAGGUUGCUAAUAAAAACAGCGAAUAAGCAACGUUUUUCUACCUGCUUAUGUUUUGCCGAAACAAAAUAGCAUGUGGCAUGGCAUGCUGGCUCGCGCAUCUUGAGCAGAAGAAGAUACGCUUUCACACAGUUGUGUUGCACAUAUGUUGUGAGUAAGAAAAGAAAAUUAGAAGCUGAAGGGUGCUCAAAAAAAAAUCUGAAAGAGGAAAACAAUCCGAAAAAAAUUAACGCAAGCGGUGUUGGUUUCCUUUGGCGCCUGCAGAGAAAGUCCUGUGAUCGUCGAGCGCAUAGCAGACGACAAGCGACAGGCGUUUCCUCCUCGCACAUCAGCAAAAUCGUUGCCAUGGAAGCAGACUUCAUUUUUUUUUCCUUUCAGAGUUUGGCCUACCAAGCACCAGGGGACAAAUUGGCGCCCGUGACGCAAUUCCCGUUUACUUGGGGGGUAUACAAGCUGGCCUAGCCGUGGUGUUUGUGGUACCUCCAUUAGGCUGUUUCAAUCGGAGUCAAAUUUUUUUUAUAAGUUGUUGCCCCGCUAGGCUCAUGAGUGGUCUUGUUGCUGCGUUCUGUGCAUGUCCUAUUUGUCUAUGUGUACACUGUUACGUGUUGCAGUGAAUAAAUCAGUUCUAAGUUAC